GCGAGCCUGCCAGGAGGCGGCCACGCAGGCUGUCCGCGACUACGCCCACGGUCUCACUACGGGGGCGGGGCCCUGAAAAAAGGGGUGUGUCUCCCGCCUGCGCGCUGGGGGCGGAGCCGUGGGGGCCGAGCGGUCCCGCGCCCGGCGGCCUGACCUCCCAGAACGCCGGGUCCCGUGACGUCACCUCGCCGUGACGCGCACGCUGUAGGAAAACUGUUCAACGAGAGCAGGUUGAUGGUUAUUUGUGUCAGAUAUCUCUCAGCAGAGCAGGAGUGAUGAAAAAACCAAAAUCAAAAACGAGGGAGUGCGGUGAAUAUCAUUUGUUUUCCUUCUACCAGACUCAGGAUUAUAUGAUAUUUGGGACCCAGAUUGCUUCAAGGAUUAUUUUUAUAUGUAGUUAAAAAGGUAAUAUGUUAUUUAUGGAAAUACUAUAAUGCAUUAAACAUUAUGCUGAAAUCUGUGUUACUUUUAAGUCUAUUUUUCUCUCUUGUGGGGGUGUCAUAUCACAUGCCUGCCAAAAUUAGUCUUGAUGGAUCUGAAUUAUAUAUCUAAACGUUUGUUGUUUUUGCUGUUGUUAGAG
RNAcentral lists this long non-coding RNA (580 nucleotides) under Rhinolophus ferrumequinum (greater horseshoe bat). RNAcentral's name for it is "lncRNA (ENSRFEG00010004064.1)". The record is from RNAcentral. Lineage: Eukaryota; Metazoa; Chordata; Mammalia; Chiroptera; Rhinolophidae.